GUAUUCCAUGGCACUUUGAGAUAUUUCAGAGAAAGGCUCGAGUUAGCAAAGAAGCAUAUUGAAGAUAAUCAGAACACACCUUAUUGUAGCCGUGUCAUGGAAUACAUGGCAAAGAAGAUAGAGAAAGCAAAGAAGCACACUGUCAGACUCAUAGGGAAUCAAGAAAGGAGGUAUGAGGUUCAGGUUCCUACCGAUGGUUUUGGUUCUAGACAUGAGGUGAAGACACACGAGGUAAAAAUUGGAACGCAGUCCUAUCCAACGUGUGAGUGUACAUGCAACAAACCGAAGUUGUUGCACCGACCUUGCUCUCAUGUGUUGGCUGCCUGCGGCCAGAUUGAGUUGGAUGCUAUCUCCUUCGUGCCCCCAUACUAUUUAAAAGAGGCAGUGCUGAACACAUGGACAGGUGAGAUGACAUGGUUUAGAGUCGUCGGCUAUUUCAACAAGGUAAACGACGGUGAGAGAGUAUACAUUCCACAUCCAGACCUUCAGCGAACAAGUAGGGGCAGAUGAAAGGCCCGUCGCAUCCGGAACGAUAUGGACCAAUCUGAAGCUCGUGGAGCAACCAGACAAUGUUUGUUAUGCGCGGCUUAUGGGCAUAGGAUGAAAUAUUGUCCCGGCCUGAACAAAGAUGGUGCUUCCACAUCGACGAGUGCUUCCACAUCGACGACUGCAACAACAGGAGCAAGAGGCGGACAUGGUCGUGGCAGUCGAGGCCGAAGGGGCAGACGAGGAAGAAAGAACUCACACGCUAUAUAA
This 756-nucleotide ribosomal RNA is filed under the name Triticum aestivum (bread wheat). RNAcentral describes it as "partial small subunit ribosomal RNA". The record is from RNAcentral. Lineage: Eukaryota; Viridiplantae; Streptophyta; Magnoliopsida; Poales; Poaceae.